This 64-nucleotide transfer RNA is filed under the name Physemacris variolosa. Its description in RNAcentral is "tRNA-Asn". Lineage: Eukaryota; Metazoa; Arthropoda; Insecta; Orthoptera; Pneumoridae. The record is from RNAcentral.
UCUAUUGAAGCCAAAAAGAGGCAUAUUACUGUUAAUAAUAUUAAUGAAUAAAAUUCCAAUUGAA